This is a small nuclear RNA of Nannospalax galili (Upper Galilee mountains blind mole rat), 125 nucleotides long. The record is from Ensembl. Lineage: Eukaryota; Metazoa; Chordata; Mammalia; Rodentia; Spalacidae.
GUGCUGUAUGAGAAGAAAGAAGGUUAGCACUCCCUUGUUAAAGAUGGAAGCGGCCCUCAGGCCUAACAACACGUACACUGUAAAGGCAUUGCCACCUGCUCUGUAGCAUCUAACCACUGUUUUUU